Long non-coding RNA from Stegostoma tigrinum, 215 nucleotides. RefSeq lists it as uncharacterized. The record is from RefSeq and is a predicted model, not a curated record. NCBI's taxonomy places the organism in Eukaryota, Metazoa, Chordata, Chondrichthyes, Orectolobiformes, Stegostomatidae. The transcript is spliced from 3 exons.
UAUUCCAGGCUGCAGCACUGAUGUCUGGACUUCAUGGGAACGUUUAAACACCACAAUUAUUUAUUUUCAGAGAAAUGAAUGAAGAUAUUCCUUUUCCAAGAUGACUAAAGGACUUCCCAAAAAUCUGAGAUGAGAAUGUUUCAAUUUCCUGACGCCAGCAAUAAAUCCAGGUCUAAAUGAGGCAUGACAGUCCAUCUGGGGUCCGAUCAUUGCAG